This is a long non-coding RNA of Bubalus bubalis (water buffalo), 950 nucleotides long. RefSeq lists it as uncharacterized. The transcript is spliced from 2 exons. NCBI's taxonomy places the organism in Eukaryota, Metazoa, Chordata, Mammalia, Artiodactyla, Bovidae. The record is from RefSeq and is a predicted model, not a curated record.
UUCUUUAAAUCUAUAGGGAAAAGAUGUCUGAUACUAUCCUCAGCUUUUUGGUCUUUUUAGUUCAUUUUCCAAAUCUAUACAAAAAGACAGUGAGAAUACAGUAGAAAAAUGUGUCCAGGAAGGAAAUAAGUGCAUUGGGGAAUUGAAUGAAAAUGAUAAAAAUCACUCACAUUUCUUUAUUGUAAUAAUUAAAUAUGAAGUGGAGUGGAGAGUGGCAGAUGAAUUCUAAUAGUAAUUGAAUUAGCACUUAGGAGUUAUCUUAUCUGCAUUGCCACAAUUCAAAAGUUCCACAGUUGUUUUCUCUCAGUCCGUAUUAUACUAAUUACGCCUCUCAUGCAUCCUGGUGUUGACCGAAGUAGUUAGUACGCAUGGAGAGGCGCCCAGCUCUCCUAAAGAGGUCUGGUCAGUACUGACUCCACAUCCUCCUUGAAAAUGCCAUCUGCUUCUUGCGUACACCGCCAUGGGGGACCCUUCCCUCCCGCUUUUGGAAAAAAGAACAUAUGUUUCUAUUUGAUAUGAUAGAUGGUCAGGGAGCAGGGGCAGGCCCGGAAGUGCAUCAGCAUCCCCUUCCGGGACGCGCUCGGCUGCCACCGUCUAACAAGUUUGUCUUGGUUUCUGUGUUUGAGAAAAUCCUGAACUUCGGUUCUUGUCAACUCCAUCUCCAAAAGUAUCUGAUUCUCUGAAAACAAUUCCAGACUCCAUUCCCAAUUUUUUUUCUCUCUAUGUGCAAAAACGAAGGCUUUGUGCACUCUGUUGCUAUGGAAACAGGAGAGAGAGAAACAGUUUAUGUAUUUCAAAAGCUGUCAGCCUAUAUGCUGUGGAUUUUGAUAACUAAACCUACAUGUGAACCAUCUUUUCUCUACUCCCAACGCCCAACACUAUAACGUUUAUUUUAUUUUAUACAUGUGUGUAUAUGUUGCUUGAGAAAAUUAAAGAUCUAUUUAUUUAUC